RNAcentral lists this ribosomal RNA (497 nucleotides) under uncultured bacterium. Its description in RNAcentral is "partial 16S ribosomal RNA". It matches the Rfam family "Bacterial small subunit ribosomal RNA", at positions 28 to 507 of the family's 1533-position model. The record is from RNAcentral.
GAUGAACGCUGGCGGCGUGCCUAAUACAUGCAAGUCGAGCGAACAGACGAGGAGCUUGCUCCUCUGACGUUAGCGGCGGACGGGUGAGUAACACGUGGAUAACCUACCUAUAAGACUGGGAUAACUUAGGGAAACCGGAGCUAAUACCGGAUAAUAUAUUGAACCGCAUGGUUCAAUAGUGAAAGACGGUUUUGCUGUCACUUAUAGAUGGAUCCGCGCCGCAUUAGCUAGUUGGUAAGGUAACGGCUUACCAAGGCAACGAUGCGUAGCCGACCUGAGAGGGUGAGCGGCCACACUGGAACUGAGACACGGUCCAGACUCCUACGGGAGGCAGCAGUAGGGAAUCUUCCGCAAUGGGCGAAAGCCUGACGGAGCAACGCCGCGUGAGUGAUGAAGGUCUUCGGAUCGUAAAACUCUGUUAUUAGGGAAGAACAAAUGUGUAAGUAACUAUGCACGUCUUGACGGUACCUAAUCAGAAAGCCACGGCUAACUACGUG